GUACGCAAUCUGUGCGUCUCAGGCCUGUCUUUAGGAGGCACAGGGUACUGUACACAAUCUGUGCGUCUCAGGCCUGUCUUUAGGAGGCACAGGGUACUGUACGCAAUCUGUGCGUCUCAGGCCUGUCUUUAGGAGGCACAGGGUACUGUACACAAUCUGUGUGUCUCAGGCCUGUCUUUAGGAGGCACAGGGUACUGUACACAAUCUGUGCGUCUCAGGCCUGUCUUUAGGAGGCACAGGGUACUGUACACAAUCUGUGUGUCUCAGGCCUGUCUUUAGGAGGCACAGGGUACUGUAUACAAUCUGUGUGUCUCAGGCCUGUCUUUAGGAGGCACAGGGUACUG
Molecule: long non-coding RNA, 344 nt
Organism: Brienomyrus brachyistius
Lineage: Eukaryota; Metazoa; Chordata; Actinopteri; Osteoglossiformes; Mormyridae
Exons: 3
Source: RefSeq, a predicted model, not a curated record